GACGAACCGUCAGAACGUUGUUCGGAAUCACUGGGCUUAAAGGGUGCGUAGGCGGCGCGGAAAGUUGGGUGUGAAAUCCCUCGGCUCAACCGAGGAACUGAGCCCAAAACUACCGUGCUCGAGGGAGAUAGAGGUGAGCGGAACUUAGGGUGGAGCGGUGAAAUGCGUUGAUAUCCUAAGGAACACCGGUGGCGAAAGCGGCUCACUGGAUCUCUUCUGACGCUGAGGCACGAAAGCUAGGGUAGCGAACGGG
Molecule: ribosomal RNA, 253 nt
Filed under: uncultured bacterium
Lineage: Bacteria
Description: partial 16S ribosomal RNA
Rfam family: Bacterial small subunit ribosomal RNA
Source: RNAcentral